CAGUCGCCGCGGGAAUACGUAGGGUGCAAGCGUUAAUCGGAAUUACUGGGCGUAAAGCGUGCGCAGGCGGUUUUGUAAGACAGAGGUGAAAUCCCCGGGCUCAACCUGGGAACUGCCUUUGUGACUGCAAGGCUAGAGUACGGCAGAGGGGGAUGGAAUUCCGCGUGUAGCAGUGAAAUGCGUAGAUAUGCGGAGGAACACCGAUGGCGAAGGCAAUCCCCUGGGCCUGUACUGACGCUCAUGCACGAAAGCGUGGGGAGCAAACAGGAUUAGAUACCCGGGUAGUCCCUGUCUCUUAUAC
Molecule: ribosomal RNA, 301 nt
Filed under: uncultured bacterium
Lineage: Bacteria
Description: partial 16S ribosomal RNA
Rfam family: Bacterial small subunit ribosomal RNA
Source: RNAcentral